CAGCAUUUUGGGAGGUCAAGACAGGAGGAUUGCUGAGGCCAGGAGUUUUAGACCAUCCUGAGAAACAUAGCAAAAGCCCAGCUCUAACAAAACUUAAAAAACAUACACUCAAAAGAAUGAAAUGAAGUCCAGAGUAUCUGCUUUCCUAAUGACUCGUGCUGCACUUGGGACCCCUACCAUCACCAUGUGACACAGAAGCCAUCUCAGUGGAGGAUACCCUCAGCCAGUCUUUGACUCACAUGGAAGUUCACAGCUCUCCUGUAAGGUACUCUAACAGAACUUAGCCUGACCUACAUCAGCAGAACCAGCCAGAUCUUAUAAAGAACCCAAUGGAAAGAAAUGAGUUUUGUGGAGGAUUGACUGAAGAGUAUACAUCUACUCCCUUAAUCUAAGUUCUAGGUUUGGAUGAACUUCAUUCCAAUAGAACCCUCCAGAUUUGGACCACAGUAAGAGUAUCUCCUGUACAAAGUUCUGUCUGACAGUUUUCUCACCGUAUCAGUUCAGUACCCACUGAAUGGGGUUCCUGGCAAAACAAGUCUAUUAUAAUUAAGUGCUGGUUUUCAAAUUAUUAUUCCCUGGGGAGCAGUGAUCAAGAGAGCAAUGUUAAAGAUUUCAGCCACAUGAAGAGAAAAAUGUUUCCCACCUUUUUUCCCACCAUCAUUUCCUUACUCCUUCAGCAGAGGGCAUUUAGAAAAGGGGGUUGAAUAAAAAAGUGAAGGACUACCUGCCCUGCUUACAUUUGCCAAAUAUCUCUUUGCCAUCCAUAAUAUCCUUACACUCUGUGACUUUUUGAUUGUGUUU
Non-coding RNA from Callithrix jacchus (white-tufted-ear marmoset), 801 nucleotides. The record is from RefSeq and is a predicted model, not a curated record. NCBI's taxonomy places the organism in Eukaryota, Metazoa, Chordata, Mammalia, Primates, Cebidae.